This 491-nucleotide ribosomal RNA is filed under the name uncultured bacterium. RNAcentral's name for it is "partial 16S ribosomal RNA". It matches the Rfam family "Bacterial small subunit ribosomal RNA", at positions 30 to 507 of the family's 1533-position model. The record is from RNAcentral.
AUUGAACGCUGGCGGCAUGCUUUACACAUGCAAGUCGAACGGUAACAGGCCUUCGGGUGCUGACGAGUGGCGAACGGGUGAGUAAUACAUCGGAACGUGCCCGGCCGUGGGGGAUAACGCAGCGAAAGCUGUGCUAAUACCGCAUCCGAUCUGCGGAUGAAAGCGGGGGACCGGCAGCGAUGGUUUGGCCGGAGCGGUCGGAGCGGGCGAUGUCAGAUUAGGUAGUUGGUGGGGUAAAGGCCUACCAAGCCGACGAUCUGUAGCUGGUCUAAGAGGAUGAUCAGCCACACUGGGACUGAGACACGGCCCAGACUCCUACGGGAGGCAGCAGUGGGGAAUUUUGGACAAUGGGCGCAAGCCUGAUCCAGCCAUGCCGCGUGCGGGAUGAAGGCCUUCGGGUUGUAAACUGCUUUUGUACGGAACGAAAAGCCUCUGUCUAAUACAGAGAGGUCAUGACGGUACCGUAAGAAUAAGCACCGGCUAACUACGUG